AGGCGUCGAGCGGCGGACGGGUGAGUAAUGCAUAGGAAUCUGCCCGGUAGUGGGGGAUAACCUGGGGAAACCCAGGCUAAUACCGCAUACGCCCUACGGGGGAAAGCAGGGGAUCUUCGGACCUUGCGCUAUCGGAUGAGCCUAUGUCGGAUUAGCUAGUUGGUGAGGUAACGGCUCACCAAGGCUGCGAUCCGUAGCUGGUCUGAGAGGAUGAUCAGCCACAUCGGGACUGAGACACGGCCCGAACUCCUACGGGAGGCAGCAGUGGGGAAUAUUGGACAAUGGGCGAAAGCCUGAUCCAGCCAUGCCGCGUGUGUGAAGAAGGCCUUCGGGUUGUAAAGCACUUUCAGUGAGGAAGAAAGCCUUGAGGUUAAUACCCUCGAGGGAGGACAUCACUCACAGAAGAAGCACCGGCUAACUCCGUGCCAGCAGCCGCGGUAAUACGGAGGGUGCGAGCGUUAAUCGGAAUUACUGGGCGUAAAGCGCGCGUAGGCGGCUUGAUAAGCCGGUUGUGAAAGCCCCGGGCUCAACCUGGGAACGGCAUCCGGAACUGUCAGGCUAGAGUGCAGGAGAGGAAGGUAGAAUUCCCGGUGUAGCGGUGAAAUGCGUAGAGAUCGGGAGGAAUACCAGUGGCGAAGGCGGCCUUCUGGACUGACACUGACGCUGAG
Molecule: ribosomal RNA, 668 nt
Filed under: Halomonas litopenaei
Lineage: Bacteria; Pseudomonadati; Pseudomonadota; Gammaproteobacteria; Oceanospirillales; Halomonadaceae
Description: bacterial SSU rRNA
Rfam family: Bacterial small subunit ribosomal RNA
Source: RNAcentral